UGCCUGCCCAGUGACACUGUUAAACGGCCGCGGUAUCCUAACCGUGCAAAGGUAGCGUAAUCACUUGUCUUUUAAAUAAAGACUAGAAUGAAUGGCCAAACGAGGCUCUACCUGUCUCUUACAAACAAUCAGUGAAAUUGAUCUUCCUGUGCAAAAGCAGGAAUAAUAUUAUAAGACGAGAAGACCCUGUGGAACUUCAAAUAUAAAAUCAACUGUCACCAAUAUCAACUCAACAGACCUAUAACAAACAGAACCUGAUUUUUAUUUUCGGUUGGGGCGACCUUGGAGUAAAACAAAACCUCCAAAAAAUAAAGAAUCCUUUUAACAUAGAGCAACAACUCAAAGUGCUUCCAGCAAAACGAUCCAAUAUAUUUGAUCAACGAACCAAGCUACCCCAGGGAUAACAGCGCAAUCCCAUUUUAGAGUCCAUAUCGACAAUGGGGUUUACGACCUCGAUGUUGGAUCAGGACAUCCUGAUGGUGCAGCCGCUAUCAAGGGUUCGUUUGUUCAACGAUUAACAGUCCUA
This 526-nucleotide ribosomal RNA is filed under the name Pyxis arachnoides. RNAcentral's name for it is "partial 16S ribosomal RNA". It matches the Rfam family "Bacterial large subunit ribosomal RNA", at positions 1856 to 2598 of the family's 2925-position model. The record is from RNAcentral. Lineage: Eukaryota; Metazoa; Chordata; Testudines; Testudinidae.